Long non-coding RNA from Ochotona princeps (American pika), 629 nucleotides. RefSeq lists it as uncharacterized. The transcript has 3 exons. The record is from RefSeq and is a predicted model, not a curated record. Lineage: Eukaryota; Metazoa; Chordata; Mammalia; Lagomorpha; Ochotonidae.
ACACGAUUUUCUCAUGAAUGCCUAAAAAUGCCCACAUUUAAAUAUUCAUCAUUGUGAGCAUUUGCUAAAAUACAGUCCUUUCCAGCAGUUUACAUCAUAUGACUGUGCAAGCUUGGGGUGGGGAGGGCAGAGUAAAAAAUUUCCUGUUCCAUUUCAUUUGAAUUUUUAACCACAGUUUUCUAUUUCAUAGUUUGGGUGGCUCUGUAAAGGCAUUUUCUGCUAUAAAUGGCUGUGGGGCUGUCCCCCCAAUGAAUAAGUUGGUUUCAUGCAAGUUCUUGAAGAAUUCAUCAACAACUCACUACGAAGGGCAGAAGUCAAGCCACACGUCACAGCAGCAGCAUCAAUAUCAUGAUGCAGUUGGGACCGGGGAAGCUUAGAACUGGGCAGAGAAUGCCUGCCUUCAAGCUUCCCAGCAUUGUGCUGAGCAAACUGAGUUGUCCCUUCCAAAGAAAUACACUGAAUCCAUUUCCACAUGGGAAUGAAGCAAAGAUAACAACCACUUUACCAUUAAAUGCCCUCUGCCAAGGCCAUCUUGGUAUAGCGGGCAGUCAUAUCUUGAACGGAUCACCCUUCUUAUCUGAGGCUGUCCUGCUUGCUGGAUCCCUGCACGCCUUGAUGGACCGACAAGC